This 253-nucleotide ribosomal RNA is filed under the name uncultured bacterium. Its description in RNAcentral is "partial 16S ribosomal RNA". It matches the Rfam family "Bacterial small subunit ribosomal RNA", at positions 524 to 776 of the family's 1533-position model. The record is from RNAcentral.
UACGAGAGCCCCGAGCGUUAUCCGGAAUUAUUGGGCGUAAAGGGUGUGUAGGUUGCGUUGUUAGUCGUCCGUUAAAUCCUCUGGCUUAACCAGAGAACCGCGAACGAAACGGCAAUGCUAGAGAUUGUGAGAGGUUUGCGGAACUCAUGGUGUAGGGGUGAAAUCCGUUGAUAUCAUGGGGAACACCAAAAGCGAAGGCAGCAAACUGGCGCAAUUCUGACACUGAAACACGAAAGCGUGGGUAGCGAAUGGG